Molecule: ribosomal RNA, 642 nt
Filed under: uncultured bacterium
Lineage: Bacteria
Description: bacterial SSU rRNA
Rfam family: Bacterial small subunit ribosomal RNA
Source: RNAcentral
GGGACAACAGCUAGAAAUGGCUGCUAAUACCGCAUAAGCCUACAGCCUCGCAUGAGGGAGUAGGAAAAGAAAUUCGGUGCAGGAUGAGUCCGCGUCUGAUUAGCUAGUUGGAGGGGUAAAAGCCCACCAAGGCAACGAUCAGUAGCCGGCCUGAGAGGGCGACCGGCCACAUUGGGACUGAGACACGGCCCAAACUCCUACGGGAGGCAGCAGUGGGGAAUAUUGCACAAUGGGGGAAACCCUGAUGCAGCGACGCCGCGUGAGCGAGGAAGUAUUUCGGUAUGUAAAGCUCUAUCAGCAGGGACGAAAAAAGACGGUACCUGACUAAGAAGCCCCGGCUAACUACGUGCCAGCAGCCGCGGUAAUACGUAGGGGGCAAGCGUUAUCCGGAUUUACUGGGUGUAAAGGGAGCGUAGACGGCAAGGCAAGCCAGAAGUGAAAGGGCAGGGCUCAACCCUGUACAUGCUUUUGGAACUGUGGUGCUAGAGUGCAGGAGAGGUAAGUGGAAUUCCUAGUGUAGCGGUGAAAUGCGUAGAUAUUAGGAGGAACACCAGUGGCGAAGGCGGCUUACUGGACUGUAACUGACGUUGAGGCUCGAAAGCGUGGGGAGCAAACAGGAUUAGAUACCCUGGUAGUCCACGC